UUUGAGUCAAACAGUUUAUUUGAAGUUGGCAAUCCUAUACAAUGUAGGAAAAACAAGUCAAAUAAUAUUUAGCCAAUCACAUGAUUAGAAUGAAAACAACAAAAUAUUAGAUAGAAAAUUUACUAACAUUGUGAUAAUCAGAAAACCCGGCCACCUAAACAGCAGUCAAACAUGCAUGAAAAUGUAGGUCUACUGACUUGACAGGACCCAUAUAAUAAAGACAAUUUAUUCAUUUCCUUUUAUAGAUAUUUAGCAUAUAAACUGAAAAAACAACAAUAUCCAUUCAGAUAUCUGUUUCUUUGGCUGAUGUUUAAUGAGGGUGUCAUAUGGCUAGCACAAGGACAACCGCCUUUACUUUCCCCAACUUAAGUCAGGUACCCAUUAGAAUUGGGUGGACUCAGGGGUGCCCUAAAAUUUCUGAAAUUCAAAAUCCCAGUCUUCACCGAAAUUCGAACCCAGCACCCCAGGUAUGGAAGCAAAGCGCUUAACCACUCAGCCGCCACCCUUCAGAUAUAGGCCCUAUGUUCAGCACAAAUACAUUCUCAACCCCCCCCCCCCCCAAAAAAAAAAA
This is a non-coding RNA of Biomphalaria pfeifferi, 571 nucleotides long. The record is from the annotation of a GenBank genome assembly. Lineage: Eukaryota; Metazoa; Mollusca; Gastropoda; Planorbidae.